UUCAAGGACAGGAGCUGUAGAUGCAACA
This 28-nucleotide non-coding RNA is filed under the name Homo sapiens (human). Lineage: Eukaryota; Metazoa; Chordata; Mammalia; Primates; Hominidae. The record is from RNAcentral.